UACAGAGGUCUCAAGCGUUGUUCGGAUUCAUUGGGCGUAAAGGGCGCGUAGGCGGCGGGGUAAGUCGGGUGUGAAAUCUCAGGGCUCAACCCUGAAACUGCACUCGAUACUGCUCUGCUUGAGGACUGGAGAGGAGACUGGAAUUCACGGUGUAGCAGUGAAAUGCGUAGAUAUCGUGAGGAAGACCAGUGGCGAAGGCGGGUCUCUGGACAGUUCCUGACGCUGAGGCACGAAGGCCAGGGGAGCAAACGGG
This 253-nucleotide ribosomal RNA is filed under the name uncultured bacterium. RNAcentral describes it as "partial 16S ribosomal RNA". It matches the Rfam family "Bacterial small subunit ribosomal RNA", at positions 524 to 776 of the family's 1533-position model. The record is from RNAcentral.